Molecule: unclassified non-coding RNA, 360 nt
Filed under: Hevea brasiliensis (rubber tree)
Lineage: Eukaryota; Viridiplantae; Streptophyta; Magnoliopsida; Malpighiales; Euphorbiaceae
Source: RNAcentral
GUUUCUUUUAAAAUGUCUUUUUUUAAAGUUAAAGUUCAAAAGAAUUGAAUUCUUUCACCUAUUAAAUUUCUAAACAUGAGAAUUGAAAAAAAAAAUCAACUAAAUUGAAUUCUCACAAAAUUCUAGUUUUUCAAACAGGCGGAUAAGGAGAUUAAAUGCAAGAAUUUCAACAAACACCCUAAACUUUGCCCAAAAAUUUCAAUAUUAUGCCCUGAAAAAUUGUGCUUUCAAAGUAAAAUAGAAACUAACAUUCAGUUUACACAGAAAUUGCUUAAGCCACUGUUUAAUCACAGUUUAUAAUCAAAAUCAAAGGGGCAAAAGAAAAAAAAAAAAGCACCUUCAAUUGAGGUUCCUUGCUAA